AUCAGCUUUUUGAGUGUGAUUAUGUGGUUUAUGAGGAGUUUAACCGCCUUCAUGUAUUGCAUAUUUGUGCUCUUGGGCGUACUUGUCUGUGUGGUAGGUUAACAUCAAUUUCGGUCGUCAUAAAAUGAUUGGAGGAAUGUAGCUUUGGUCUCGUAUCGAAGUGUUAUAGACUCUGGUAGAUGUGACGAUUGGGAUUGAGGAUUGCAACGGAUACCCCUCGGGGCUACUCGUCUGAUCUCUGAAGGUUGCUCCGGUACCGAAAGCGUGCUUACGGUCAUCGAAAGUGAUUUUCAAAAGGUUAGAACGGGUUAAAUUCGUUAAGGAUGUUGACGUAAUGGCUUU
RNAcentral lists this ribosomal RNA (342 nucleotides) under uncultured Glomeromycotina. RNAcentral describes it as "eukaryotic LSU rRNA". Lineage: Eukaryota; Fungi; Glomeromycota. The record is from RNAcentral.